Cinara cedri is the source of this 549-nucleotide non-coding RNA. The record is from the annotation of a GenBank genome assembly. NCBI's taxonomy places the organism in Eukaryota, Metazoa, Arthropoda, Insecta, Hemiptera, Aphididae.
CUAUAAGUCUCGUGUUGUUUUCGUUCAAACAGUCGUCACUGCGGCAACGGCGAUAAUUUUCCAUCGUUUUGACGAAAGUUCAGCGAUUCCCGGACCGGAUGUCGAAUCUCGAGCCCUCUUUACAUGUGGGCGUCGGGAGCUCCGUUCCGGGGUCGCUCCCGGCGGGAAAACCGGGACUACGGGCCCCUUUCUCCGCUUGGCCAGUUCGGGCUGCUUGUCGCGUCCCGGCCGUAAGGCCGUAAGGCCGUUCCGUGUUCUCGGCUACCCCUGACAACGCGGAUUGCGUUGACGACGGUUGAUCGGGAGACGCGUGACGGCCGCCGGCCUGGAUCGAUCGCUCAUUCCGUCGGACCCCGGGCGUCGAAUUAUGUCCUAAUCACAUUUUAUGAAGAGUGAGCCCGGCGGACUCCGGUCGGUGCCGAACCUGCAGUCGGUGCCGUUCGGUGGGAUUCGGCUGAGCUUAUGAGCGACGUUGUGGAUGGCCGUGAGAGGGCCGGAGGAAAUCCACCCGACGGCGUGCGUUCUGCGCGCAUUUGGAAUGGCGAAUCG